This 7248-nucleotide long non-coding RNA is filed under the name Sorghum bicolor (sorghum). RNAcentral describes it as "long non-coding RNA (SBIC_LNC005335)". Lineage: Eukaryota; Viridiplantae; Streptophyta; Magnoliopsida; Poales; Poaceae. The record is from RNAcentral.
GUUCAAAAUUUGGGCGAAUUUCGCAAAACCACAAAAUUGGUUGGAUAGGGCUCGCUACAGUGAUCCGGAUCACGGGCUCCUCUGUCCCGCCGGAAGCAGAGCGGGCAGAGCCGCGCGCGCGCCCCACCGCCACGCAGCUGCUUGCUGGCCACAUCAUCGCGCGACGUGGACGCCCGCGACCCCUUCGACUCGUCCCCUUGAGCGCCCCCGCGGCCGACAUCUUUCUGCGACCGAAAACGCCGAUGGAAUUCAUCUCGCUCCUCCCACCUCAGCCCCGUUGCUCUCUUCCUCUGCUCCGCAGCAUCCUUGAGCAUCGUCUAAGCCAGCUAACACUCUCUUCCCUCGUCGGACUCGGCCAUGAGCCGGUUUCCCGUCACAGAGCCCCGCCAUGGCCGCCAUGGGAGCCUGCGCACGUGGCCAGGAGGCCACAGACCUUCUCCGGCCAAGCCGCUGACACCAGCGCGAGCGCGCGAGCCUCAGGAUGCUCCCCAACGCUUUCCCUCGCUGCCAACAAGCGUCCACCGGCCGGAAAUCAGGUUUUCUCCGACAUCCUCUGCUCUGGAAUCGCGACCAGGGACUUCGCGCGACAAUUUGAAGUUCUCCAGGGGUCUAAUUGCACAGACUGUGACUCAGGUGAAUAGUGCUAUAAGGACUUGUUUGUAGAUGUUUUGUUGAAUCUUUGAAAAUUCAUAUCUGGAGUUUGGUAGCUCCAAUUUUGGUGAACCAAAUUUUGUUGUGCUCCUUGAGAUGUCUAGUUUUUAUUAAAAAUAUGAAACUGACCAUGUUUUGUAGUAAAAUAAUUAGUUAUGAUUUAUGCCUUUUAAUUAUGUUUAAAAGGGAGAAAUUCAUAUCUCAUUCUGUAUAGCUCCUAUUGCCCUGAAAUUUUUAUGGUGUUCUCAUGAUGUUAUGUGAGUGUUGCAGUAAAAAUUUCAUGUUCAGUAGAUGAUAUAUGGUUAAGUUAUUAAUUUAUCUUGUUUAGUGCUUAUUAAAUUAUCUAUAAUUAAACUAAAAAUUAAUAAAUACAAAAUAUGGUUCCUGUACCUUUAUAUGAGGUCUUUAUAUCAUACAGAUACAUAAUUGAGCUAUGUGUUUGUAGAAAAUGUCGAGUUUCUUAAUUAUCUUGUUGUUACAUGCUUCCUUGUGAUGGAAAUUUAUCUUUUUCAUGGAAAUUGUUAUACUUAACCAAAUGGUAUGAAAUUUAUACAGUAGACUUUGGAGAGAAUAUAUGAGCUGCUGUAGUUUUCUCAGAAUUUACUGUGUACUUUUGAUAUAUGGUUAUUGCUUUGUUUAUUUACCUAAAUAAAUUAAUAAAAACAUGAAAGGAAUUUUUAUUUAGGGAUGACCAUGAUAUUUUCUAGUAUUUCUUGGAUGUAUUUCAACUGUUGGUGAGCUGGGUUUUGCCCAGGUUUAAGUUUGGAACAUAAAUGAAAUGUUUUUCUCUGUAAUUCAAUUAUUAGUGAUUUCUAGAUAGUUUCUGGAACAUUAUAAAUUGCUCUAGGUAAAUAAUGUUGGAUAUGAAACUUGUCUAUAACAAAGUUGUAUAUAAUUCAUGUAUCUACCUGGUGUUAAAGUUUGGUGGCAUUUGUCCCUGUAGUUUCUGAGUUAUGCUUGUUUCAAUUUAAGUUUCAGAAAUGGUUCCCCUCUGUCAAAUCCUGGAUCAGUUUCUGUAGUAGUAUAAUUUCAACUUGCUAAACUUAUGAAUCAUGCUUUCAUGAUAAAAGAUGAAUUGUAGUAAUUUUCAUAAGCUUUCCAAAAUGUUAUGGAUCAUGAAUUUUGGUGAUCUAUAACUCUGGUUAUAGAUGUAUGAAGCUUAAUGUCUGAUUCUGUCCAUGGUCUGGACAGGAAUGUUUCUUCAUGCUAUUUGGCCAUCUUAUCUAUUAAAUCAGUUCUCGAAGAUAAUAACAAAGUUGCAGAAAAUUAUCUAAGCUUUUCAGAAAGUCUAAUAUCACCUUUAUUGGAUGCUUGGAUCUCUAAUUAUGGUUGAAUGAAGUUACAUAUAUGCUGCUGUCCUGGUUAUGUGUGCAAAUUUGAUUUAUGUUUGAAUAUAUAUAGAAGAGUUGUGCAGAUUCGAAAAUAGUGAAAAUAUUUGGAUAUGUUCUAUGCAGUCUGUAGAACACAGAAAAAAAAUGCUAGGUUUUAUUUUCUAGCAAUAUAUAUAUGUAUGAAAAUGGUAGCCUUUAUUUAGUAAAUAACACUAUCAUGAAUUUCAAUAAUUUAGUGAUAUGUCCAAAAAUCACCAAAAUUUGUGGGAUGCCUCUGAAUAUUAUUCCCUGGCAUCACACAAAAUUUGGUGGCACUUGGAUGAAGUUUGAAUAAAAUAUUAUUAUACCCUUAAUUAGUAAUAAUUCCAAAAUAAUUAGGUAAUGAUUAGUUAAAUUCUCAAAAUUAGGGUUUGAGUGAUUUUGGGAUUAUGUGAUGACCUGAGGUCAUUGACCUUAAUGACCUUUGGCAUUUAAUUAUUGUUUGGCCUUAAUGCUUAAUUACUGUCAUUAGUAAUUAAUUAAGAAUUAAUUAAGGUAAAUAAGAUUAAUAAUUAGUUAAUUCAGGUUAAUUAUGAAUUAAAAGAGAUUUUAUUUUACAGAUGCAACCUCUUGGGUAAAAACAUUAAGAUGUUAAACAACUUUAUUUAGUGAUAAUUCUGUAUUGCAUCAAGAAGGCGAGUUGUACUCGAUUUGGUCCUUCUUACAUAUUUGUCAUACGCAUAUCAUGAGCAUUCAUCAUUUUGCGUAUAGUGUCCGUGACCGAAGGAGCGCCCGUUGAACCGAACCCCGACGUCGGUGCUCCGUUCGAAGAAGUCGGAUCCGAGACUUGGGAAGUCUCCGAGGGUCCCUCUCUACCCUGCAACCAAGGCAAGCCCCGGAUGCAUUAACCCCUCCUUGGAUGUUUUAAAUCUUUUAUCACUUAUGAAUUGAAAAUGCUGCAUUAGGUAGUUGAGAAUUAGGUUAACCUACUUGCUGCAUUUACUACCUUGAUAUCUGUAUCCUGUCCUUGACACCUGUUUUAUUUUAAAACUGCGUAGCGAUGCUUAGCCCUGCUACUAGAUAGGUUUUUAAACAAGAAAGUUUGAAGGGUUGUUGUGGGAUACACUUACGAUCAGUGAUGUUUCAAUUUGAGACCGGUCGGUGGACUUGCUCUAAGAAUGGAGUCUUAAAGUAGUGUCUCCGACUGUGUUGAUUAAGGACCGUUCCGUUGAUGGCCUGCUGGGUUGAGAAUUUAUAGUACUAGCCACUUGCCCUCGGUAAGCCCGAUCUUGUAAUCCCUCGACGCGAACAGCUACUCGCGCACUGGGAGUGGAAAGAUGGCGAGAGUAACGUGUGCCCACCUUACGGAUCUGAGAUGACCGGAAAACAUCUAGAUCGGCUGUAGGAUGGUGGAGUACUGUGCUCUCGGGUGCCGCGAACCUGGUCAAAUUUGGGGAGAGCUUGAUUCGGGUUGAUAUAUGCAAGAUUUGGUUCUACAUAUGUCGGGUGGUUAGGAACUCCAGCUGGAUUGCUAAGCGAUUCGAAUCGUCGUUGCUCCCCGAUUGGGAGACUCAAUUCCUUCGACCCUCAUCGUAGUUAAAUAUGCAACUAAGUGAUAAAAUGAGAAAGGGGGAAAAUGUCUUAUGAGGUUCGGAUCCCAAUUCCCGGACUCAGAGUGACAUGAAGCUUUGGCCGUUGGAUAGAUAAUACUUUGAUUAAGGACGAGGAACUUACAGACUUGUCUGUGAGAAGCAACUAGAUAGACUGUCCUCGAACUCCUCGACCUCUUAAGGAGAGGAAUUCGUGGGUAAAACUUGAAAGUAAGGAUGCACUAUUAGUAAGCUUUUUGGCAAAACAAUUUGGCUCCUUGCUCAGCCACUCCUUGUCUACCCCAAGCCUGCAUUCCUAAGUUCUCCUCUUUUUCUGCCGGGUAAGUCUUGUUGAGUACUCCCGUACUCAGGGUUUUAUAACCCCUGUUGCAGGUGCUGACUUAUGCUGCUAAUGGAGGUCAUGUCGGUGGGCGCGACAUGAUUUAUCCACCUCUUCUACCUUAGAAGCUUCACCUAAGAUGCUUCCGCUACUCCGCACACCUUUUGGAAAUUUAGUUGUUUAUAUUCCAUCAUAUGUUGUAAAUUGAGUUAUAAAUCUUCCGCACUCCGAUGUAAGUUAUUUUUGUAACAAAUGAUGUAAUGUUGUGGUAACUCCAUGUUGAUCCUGUAUGAGUUAAAAUGUGGAUGAUUCGGGGUCCUCUAAGGGCACCCGACAGACUACCUGGGUUAUAUGACUCUCAUGUGCAGUAAUCAGAGGUCUUAAUGACAAUGAUAGGUGCAUGUGGGCCAUAUAAUUUAGGUGGUUCUGCCACAGAGUGGUAUCAGAGCUCAUACAUGGAUCUUCUGCAACAUUACUUGUGAAAAACUUCAAAAGGAAUUUACAAAUUAAAAGUUUUUGAGGACAACAACUUGUAAAUGCUCCUUAACUUUUCUUAUGCUUGCUAUUCAAGUUCUGUGAAGACUGUCUGCUGACUCAAAUAGAAGGCAUUGAAAGGGACUUCAAUUCUUCUUCAACAAGUCAAGUGAAGAAUCAAACUACUCCAACAAUGCUUUGUCAAGAGUCUUGCAACAUUCCAUCCAGAGCGAUGAAGAUACUGUAUAAAUAAAGCCCUAUAAUCUACUAACAUGAUGAAGAUGGAGCACUCUCGCCGUUGAGAAGACGUAUAGGACGAGCAUAUUGCAUAUCAUGCAUAACAUGACAAUAUAAUGAUACUUAAAAGCCCCUCCUUAUGCUUCAAAAACAGUUAUUAUUCAUUAUAGCUGUUUUAUUGAUGAAUCUCAUCAUGUACCAGCUUUCGUUAACCGAUUGAUAAUCUUUUACUCCAUAAGAUCCUAAUCCUUGAUUCUCUUGUUAUGCAUGUGACCUUCCUUGAUUUCAUCUAACUUGACACAGGCUACCUCCUUGCUGUCAUUUGAUGACAUAUGUGCUGAUUGAAUGACACUAUGAAUGUGUCCUCUUAAGGUACCAUGACUUGUAACUUAGGUAACAAUGUCGAAACCUGGGGUCUCCUAUGGCUCAUGACCAUGAGGAAAUACUGCUGGGCGCUCAUUGUUAUCAAAGUAUAUGAUCAUGAUCCCUUAUAGUCCACAAUUAGGGUGUUUCAUUCUUUGGACACUCCUUAGGGAUUCAAAUUUGUCCUUUUGAGUUCCCUAAACGCCUUGUGGUUGUGAUCGACUUUUGAUCUCAGUUACAUUCUUGGUAUUGUGAGACAUGGGUUAUUGUUGUGGUGCCCUAUAGUGGUGCCAUGUCCCGUGACCCCGGUGCCGCGUCGGAACCUAGAGUCUUUUGUGUGUCUGGAUGACACAAAUUUCUGCUGGGCGCGUGCAGGUAUCGAGGUUAUGGGCAUGAUCCAUUAUAGCCCCACAACUAAGGUGCCCUCGCUCUUUAAGCCCUAUCAUGGGAACCCAUGCCCAUAUCUUUGUGGGAAUUACCUAAACCCUUGACUUGGAUAACCAACAUAGAUUGGUUGAAAGCUAUUGUAACUGUGCUCUAUAGUAGGUACCAUGAUCCGUGAUCACGUUAUAACGUCGAGCCUUGUAGUCUCCUGUGGAACCGCGGCCAUAAGGAAAUACUACCAGGUGCUCGUUAAACAUCGGGAUCUCUGGUCAUGCUCCACUAUAGUCUACAAUUAGUAUGCUUUCAUUCUCCUUGGAAGCUCAUUUGGAGAUUCAUACCUUCUUAUGAAUUCUCUAAAAUUCCUGGUUGAUUACAACUUCCUAUUGCUCUUAGUUGUAUUUCUCAGACCAAUUAUAGUUGUUUUACGAACUUCUCAGAAGUUAAUGUGCUUAACACAUUUCCUUUUCCAUUACAUACCAUAAGGCUUUAAAUCUCGAGGACGAGAUUUCUUUAAGGGGGAAAGGCUGUAACAUCCCUGAUGUUACGAACACUAAAAACGGAUCAUGUUAUCAUAAGCAUUGCAAAGCAUAUUUGUUAAGCACAUUAUUAUGCAUCAACUUAAAACAAGUUUAUUUUGAUUGCUUGUGCUUAGGGAAGUAGAGUGUACUUAUGUUGUGAAGUGAUGCUUGUGUUGGUUGUAUAACCCCUAGGGCGGAAGGUUUCCGAUAAAAUAGGGGGAAAACCCUGAUUUUAAAACCCUGGAUUUGCCCCCUUUUGUGUAAUUUUAAAACCAAGCAAAAUUUGAGGUUGAGUACAAAAGAAAAGUUGUAGAUCUUGUCAAGAUGUACAACUUUGGUGUUUUGAGUUUUUGAAGUUUCAAUACAAAAUUCAAAGUAAUUUUGAAAAUACAGAUUUCCAGAAAGUGUCCCCUUUUCCAAAUUGAACCUCCAAUUCAAAAUCUAUUUGGAAUUUUGAAAAGUGACCAACAUUAAAGUUGUAGAGCUCAAAAAUUUGAACAACUUUCAUGUUGGGAGUUUUUCAAGUUGUUUGGAAAAAUUAAAAGUAAUUUUGGAAAUUCUAAUCUGCCCCAAUUCAAAAAUUGGAAUUUCCCCAAUUUGGGAUUUGAAAUUCAAACUGUUUUGUCAAAUUCGUCAUUUUCCACCCAGAAUUGGCUUUGGUCACCAAAAGAAGAUUUGUAGUUUGUAAAAUUCUGAAUAACUUUUGUUUUGGUGGAAUUUUGUCUUCAGUUCAAAAUUUGGGCGAAUUUCGCAAAACCACAAAAUUGGUUGGAUAGGGCUCGCUACAGUGAUCCGGAUCACGGGCUCCUCUGUCCCGCCGGAAGCAGAGCGGGCAGAGCCGCGCGCGCGCCCCACCGCCACGCAGCUGCUUGCUGGCCACAUCAUCGCGCGACGUGGACGCCCGCGACCCCUUCGACUCGUCCCCUUGAGCGCCCCCGCGGCCGACAUCUUUCUGCGACCGAAAACGCCGAUGGAAUUCAUCUCGCUCCUCCCACCUCAGCCCCGUUGCUCUCUUCCUCUGCUCCGCAGCAUCCUUGAGCAUCGUCUAAGCCAGCUAACACUCUCUUCCCUCGUCGGACUCGGCCAUGAGCCGGUUUCCCGUCACAGAGCCCCGCCAUGGCCGCCAUGGGAGCCUGCGCACGUGGCCAGGAGGCCACAGACCUUCUCCGGCCAAGCCGCUGACACCAGCGCGAGCGCGCGAGCCUCAGGAUGCUCCCCAACGCUUUCCCUCGCUGCCAACAAGCGUCCACCGGCCGGAAAUCAGGUUUUCUCCGACAUCCUCUGCUCUGGAAUCGCGACCAGGGACUUCGCGCGACAAUUUGAAGUUCUCCAGGGGUCUAAUUGCACAGACUGUGACUCAGGUGAAUAGUGCUAUAAGGACU